RNAcentral lists this transfer RNA (77 nucleotides) under Cephaloticoccus primus. RNAcentral describes it as "tRNA-His". It matches the Rfam family "tRNA". Rfam says of the family: Transfer RNA (tRNA) molecules are approximately 80 nucleotides in length. Their secondary structure includes four short double-helical elements and three loops (D, anti-codon, and T loops). Lineage: Bacteria; Pseudomonadati; Verrucomicrobiota; Opitutia; Opitutales; Opitutaceae. RNAcentral also lists the same sequence under 3 other names. The record is from RNAcentral.
GCGGCCAUAGCUCAGUUGGUUAGAGCACUUGAUUGUGAUUCAAGGGGUCGCGGGUUCGAGUCCCGUUGGCCGCCCCA